RNAcentral lists this non-coding RNA (26 nucleotides) under Cricetulus griseus (Chinese hamster). Lineage: Eukaryota; Metazoa; Chordata; Mammalia; Rodentia; Cricetidae. The record is from RNAcentral.
CCUUUUGGAGGGAAGAGAACACUGCU